UCGAUCAGCUAUAAAUAAAACAAGAGUCUACUGCUACAAAAAUUGAAACAUCUGAAAAAUAUUUUUGAGUAAGUCAGGUUAGGUUCGAUUAAGUUAGGUUAAUUUUACUUGAAACGACCUUUUGAACACGUGACAGUGCUGAAUCGUAGUAGGUAGUUCUGCCUAGUUAUUCGGGGUUAGUCUCAAUUAUUUACUGCAUUGGGGCGCUGUAUGGUAGUAUGCUAUGUAAAAAAAACUUUUCCAAUACGCAGGCCAUUGAUGUACUGUAGAAAAAAAGGUCAGCUGGCAAGAGUGGGGCUCAACUGAAUGCAGAAAACCAGAUUCGAUCUCGGCAGGGCAGACACAGAAGAGUGCUACAUUGAUAACAUAGCAUGAAUUUCCUUGUUAAAAUAAUCCAUUUCAAAGUUGAAAGACACGUGGAAUGUUUUCCCCAAUGUAGUUACAACCUGAUCGGCAGUAAGUCUGCGACUAUCUUCAUCAGGCAAGUGAGCAACACAAAUAUAAGGCUUGAGAAAUAGGUAACUUAUGAAGCAUUUAAGAAAGAUCACCUCCAGUCACUGCAGGAUACUAACUGCAUCCAUCAUACAGGAGACGCUUCUCUGAUCCUCUCAAAACAAGAAGAACCUGGAAGGAAGCCCAAAACAAACGUUCUUGGUCCA
This is a long non-coding RNA of Leptinotarsa decemlineata (Colorado potato beetle), 659 nucleotides long. The record is from RefSeq and is a predicted model, not a curated record. Lineage: Eukaryota; Metazoa; Arthropoda; Insecta; Coleoptera; Chrysomelidae.